ACGGGAGGCAGCAGUGAGGAAUAUUGGUCAAUGGGCGAGAGCCUGAACCAGCCAAGUAGCGUGCAGGACGACGGCCCUAUGGGUUGUAAACUGCUUUUGUCGGGGAAUAAAGUCAGGAACGUGUUCCUGUUUGCAUGUACCCGAAGAAUAAGGACCGGCUAAUUCCGUGCCAGCAGCCGCGGUAAUACGGAAGGUCCGGGCGUUAUCCGGAUUUAUUGGGUUUAAAGGGAGCGCAGGCUGCCUUUUAAGCGUGCUGUGAAAUGUAGGCGCUCAACGUCUGCACUGCAGCGCGAACUGGAAGGCUUGAGUACGCGGGAAGUAGGCGGAAUUCGUCGUGUAGCGGUGAAAUGCUUAGAUAUGACGAAGAACUCCGAUUGCGAAGGCAGCUUACUGUAGCGCCACUGACGCUAAAGCUCGAAAGUGCGGGUAUCGAACAGGAUUAGAUACCCUGGUA
Molecule: ribosomal RNA, 454 nt
Filed under: uncultured Prevotella sp.
Lineage: Bacteria; Pseudomonadati; Bacteroidota; Bacteroidia; Bacteroidales; Prevotellaceae
Description: partial 16S ribosomal RNA
Rfam family: Bacterial small subunit ribosomal RNA
Source: RNAcentral